UGGGGAAUAUUGCACAAUGGGCGCAAGCCUGAUGCAGCCAUGCCGCGUGUAUGAAGAAGGCCUUCGGGUUGUAAAGUACUUUCAGUCGGGAGGAAGGUGGUAAGGUUAAUAACCUUAUCAAUUGACGUUACCGACAGAAGAAGCACCGGCUAACUCCGUGCCAGCAGCCGCGGUAAUACGGAGGGUGCAAGCGUUAAUCGGAAUUACUGGGCGUAAAGCGCACGCAGGCGGUUGAUUGAGUCAGAUGUGAAUUCCCCGGGCUUAACCCGGGAAUUGCAUCUGAUACUGGUCAGCUAGAGUCUUGUAGAGGGGGGUAGAAUUCAAUGUGUAGCGGUGAAAUGCGAAGGAAUGUGGAGGAAUACCGGUGGGGAAGGCGGCCCCCUGGAAAAGGACUAACGCUCAGGUGCGAAAGCGUGGGAGCAAACAGG
Molecule: ribosomal RNA, 428 nt
Filed under: Chloroflexota bacterium
Lineage: Bacteria; Bacillati; Chloroflexota
Description: Chloroflexi bacterium partial 16S ribosomal RNA
Rfam family: Bacterial small subunit ribosomal RNA
Source: RNAcentral